This 254-nucleotide ribosomal RNA is filed under the name uncultured bacterium. RNAcentral describes it as "partial 16S ribosomal RNA". It matches the Rfam family "Bacterial small subunit ribosomal RNA", at positions 524 to 776 of the family's 1533-position model. The record is from RNAcentral.
UACGAAGGGGCUAGCGUUGUUCGGAAUUACUGGGCGUAAAGCGCACGUUAGGCGGGUUUGUAAGUAGGGGGUGAAAUCCCAGGGCUCAACCCUGGAACUGCCUUCUAAAACUGCAGCCUGGAGGUCAGGAGAGGCGAGUGGAAUACCGAGUGUAGAGGUGAAUUCGUAGAUAUUCGGGUGGAAACACCAGUGGCGAAGGCGACUCGCUGGACUGAUACUGACGCUGAGGUGCGAAAGCGUGGGGAGCAAACAGG